RNAcentral lists this ribosomal RNA (369 nucleotides) under uncultured bacterium. RNAcentral's name for it is "bacterial SSU rRNA". It matches the Rfam family "Bacterial small subunit ribosomal RNA", at positions 420 to 806 of the family's 1533-position model. The record is from RNAcentral.
GGUAUGUAAAGCUCUAUCAGCAGGGAAGAUAAUGACGGUACCUGACUAAGAAGCACCGGCUAAAUACGUGCCAGCAGCCGCGGUAAUACGUAUGGUGCAAGCGUUAUCCGGAUUUACUGGGUGUAAAGGGAGCGCAGGCGGUGCGGCAAGUCUGAUGUGGAAGCCCGGGGCUCAACCCCGGUACUGCAUUGGAAACUGUCGUACUAGAGUGUCGGAGGGGUAAGCGGAAUUCCUAGUGUAGCGGUGAAAUGCGUAGAUAUUAGGAGGAACACCAGUGGCGAAGGCGGCUUACUGGACGAUAACUGACGCUGAGGCUCGAAAGCGUGGGGAGCAAACAGGAUUAGAUACCCUGGUAGUCCACGCCGUAAA